UACGAAGGUGGCUAGCGUUGUUCGGAUUUAUUGGGCGUAAAGGGUCCGCAGGCGGUUUGAUAAGUCAGGUGUGAAAUCCAACAGCUUAACUGUUGACACGCAUUUGAUACUGUCAGACUAGAGUAUGAGAGGGGUGAGAGGAAUUUCCAGUGUAGGGGUGAAAUCCGUAGAUAUUGGAAAGAACACCGGCCGCGAAGGCGUUUCGCUGGCUCAUUACUGACGCUCAGGGACGAAAGCCAGGGGAGCAAACGGG
This 253-nucleotide ribosomal RNA is filed under the name uncultured bacterium. RNAcentral's name for it is "partial 16S ribosomal RNA". It matches the Rfam family "Bacterial small subunit ribosomal RNA", at positions 524 to 776 of the family's 1533-position model. The record is from RNAcentral.